RNAcentral lists this ribosomal RNA (253 nucleotides) under uncultured bacterium. Its description in RNAcentral is "partial 16S ribosomal RNA". It matches the Rfam family "Bacterial small subunit ribosomal RNA", at positions 524 to 776 of the family's 1533-position model. The record is from RNAcentral.
UACGGGGGGGGCAAGCGUUGUUCGGAAUUACUGGGCGUAAAGGGCUCGUAGGCGGCCAACUAAGUCAUACGUGAAAUCCCUCAGCUUAACUGGGGAACUGCGUGUGAUACUGGAUGGCUUGGAUUUGGGAGAGGGAUGCGGAAUUCCAGGUGUAGCGGUGAAAUGCGUAGAUAUCUGGAGGAACACCGGUGGCGAAGGCGGCAUCCUGGACCAAUAUUGACGCUGAUGAGCGAAAGCCAGGGGAGCAAACGGG